Molecule: transfer RNA, 66 nt
Filed under: Camelus bactrianus (Bactrian camel)
Lineage: Eukaryota; Metazoa; Chordata; Mammalia; Artiodactyla; Camelidae
Also listed under: 2 other names
Rfam family: tRNA
About the family: Transfer RNA (tRNA) molecules are approximately 80 nucleotides in length. Their secondary structure includes four short double-helical elements and three loops (D, anti-codon, and T loops).
Source: Rfam by way of RNAcentral
GGUUAUAGCUCAGUGGUAGAGCGCGUGCUUAGCAUGCACGAGGUCCUGGGUUCAAUCCCCAGACCU